GACGAACGCUGGCGGCGUGCUUAACACAUGCAAGUCACGGGGGCCCAGCAAUGGGCAACCGGCGAACGGGUGCGUAACACGUGAGCAACCUACCGAUUUGAGGGGGAUAGCCGGCCCAACGGCCGGGUAAUACCGCAUACGCUCGUAAGGCCUCAUGGUCUAACGAGGAAACCUCCGGGGCAGAUCGAGGGGCUCGCGGCCUAUCAGCUUGUUGGUUGGGGUAACGGCCCACCAAGGCGACGACGGGUAGCUGGUCUGAGAGGAUGGCCAGCCACAUUGGGACUGAGAGACGGCCCAGACUCCUACGGGAGGCAGCAGUGGGGAAUCUUGCGCAAUGGCCG
Molecule: ribosomal RNA, 341 nt
Filed under: uncultured bacterium
Lineage: Bacteria
Description: bacterial SSU rRNA
Rfam family: Bacterial small subunit ribosomal RNA
Source: RNAcentral